RNAcentral lists this unclassified non-coding RNA (200 nucleotides) under Venturia sp. (in: ascomycete fungi). RNAcentral's name for it is "Venturia sp. (in: Fungi) partial internal transcribed spacer 2". Lineage: Eukaryota; Fungi; Ascomycota; Dothideomycetes; Venturiales; Venturiaceae. The record is from RNAcentral.
UUAAGUUCAGCGGGUAUCCCCACCUGAUCCGAGGCCAACCUUGUAAAAAGUGGUCGGGGCGGCCGCCGCCUGACGAUCCGAGCGAGGGAUUUCUCUUGCUACGCUCGGUGCCGGACGCCGACGCCCACGGGUUUCGGGCCCCGUCCGCGAGGACGGGGCCCAUCACAGAGCAGGGCUCCAGGGUAGAAAUGGCGCUCGAA